GCCUCCUCCGAGAACAGGGGCGGUCCGGCCGGCGGGUGGCUUUCGGGUCGUCUCUCCCAGAGCGCGCCUUGCGCCCUGUUCCGUGUCCGGCCUUGGUCUCUGACUCAAAGUGUUGUUCCCUCAGCUUGAAGGAACUCUCCGGGAGGCCCGGAAGAUGCCGGGCGGGCCACAGGCUGCCGAGUCCCCGGGCCGUGUGGAUUAGAGCCAGGCUUGGGCUGUAUGGGGAAAGGCCACCAAGCCAAGUGUGAUCCAGGCCUGGAAGAGUGGCAGGAAAUGCUGAUGGAGUCUCCUCUGCAUAUCUCAGAGGGAGGGGAGAGGCACACAGUGGGCAACAUCAUUUACCAUAUGUUCAGCAACAUCCACAGCUCAGAAUCAACAAUGGGCAGAGGU
RNAcentral lists this long non-coding RNA (390 nucleotides) under Cricetulus griseus (Chinese hamster). Its description in RNAcentral is "lncRNA (ENSCGRG00015040481.1)". Lineage: Eukaryota; Metazoa; Chordata; Mammalia; Rodentia; Cricetidae. The record is from RNAcentral.